AUACGUAGGGGGCGAGCGUUGUCCGGAAUUACUGGGCGUAAAGGGUGCGUAGGCGGCCCUUUAAGUCAGAUGUGAAAGCCCGCAGCUUAACUGCGGAAUUGCAUUUGAAACUGGAGGACUUGAGUGUCGGAGAGGGUAGUGGAAUUCCCAGUGUAGCGGUGAAAUGCGUAGAUAUUGGGAGGAACACCAGUGGCGAAGGCGACUGCCUGGACGAUAACUGACGCUGAGGCACGAAAGCUAGGGGAGCAAACAGGAUUAGAUACCCUGGUAGUCCUAGCCGUAAACGAUGGGUACUAGGUGUAGGUGGUUUCGAUACCAUCUGUGCCGUAGUUAACGCAUUAAGUACCCCGCCUGGGGACUACGGCCGCAAGGCUGAA
This 377-nucleotide ribosomal RNA is filed under the name uncultured bacterium. RNAcentral's name for it is "bacterial SSU rRNA". It matches the Rfam family "Bacterial small subunit ribosomal RNA", at positions 523 to 898 of the family's 1533-position model. The record is from RNAcentral.